RNAcentral lists this ribosomal RNA (253 nucleotides) under uncultured bacterium. Its description in RNAcentral is "partial 16S ribosomal RNA". It matches the Rfam family "Bacterial small subunit ribosomal RNA", at positions 524 to 776 of the family's 1533-position model. The record is from RNAcentral.
UACGGGGGGAGCAAGCGUUGUUCGGAUUUACUGGGCGUAAAGGGCGCGUAGGCGGUCCUGAUCGUCGGAUGUGAAAGGCCUGGGCUCAACCUGGGAAUGGCAUCCGAUACGGCGGGACUGGAGUGUGGGAGAGGUUGGUGGAAUUCCCAGUGUAGAGGUGAAAUUCGUAGAUAUUGGGAAGAACACCGGUGGCGAAGGCGGCCAACUGGACCACAACUGACGCUGAGGCGCGAAAGCGUGGGGAGCAAACAGG